This 653-nucleotide ribosomal RNA is filed under the name uncultured bacterium. RNAcentral's name for it is "bacterial SSU rRNA". It matches the Rfam family "Bacterial small subunit ribosomal RNA", at positions 8 to 655 of the family's 1533-position model. The record is from RNAcentral.
AGAGUUUGAUCCUGGCUCAGAUUGAACGCUGGCGGAAUGCUUUACACAUGCAAGUCGGGCGGCAGCACGGGGGCAACCCUGGUGGCGAGCGGCGAACGGGUGAGUAAUACAUCGGAACGUACCCUGUCGUGGGGGAUAACGAAUCGAAAGAUUCGCUAAUACCGCAUACGACCUGAGGGUGAAAGCGGGGGAUCGCAAGACCUCGCGCGAUAGGAGCGGCCGAUGUCGGAUUAGCUAGUUGGUAGGGUAAAGGCCUACCAAGGCGACGAUCCGUAGCGGGUCUGAGAGGACGGCCCGCCACACUGGGACUGAGACACGGCCCAGACUCCUACGGGAGGCAGCAGUGGGGAAUUUUGGACAAUGGGGGCAACCCUGAUCCAGCCAUUCCGCGUGAGUGAAGAAGGCCUUCGGGUUGUAAAGCUCUUUCGGCAGGAACGAAACGGCGGGCUCUAACAUAGCCUGUCAAUGACGGUACCUGAAGAAGAAGCACCGGCUAACUACGUGCCAGCAGCCGCGGUAAUACGUAGGGUGCGAGCGUUAAUCGGAAUUACUGGGCGUAAAGCGUGCGCAGGCGGCGCCAUAAGACAGCUGUGAAAUCCCCGGGCUUAACCUGGGAACUGCGGUUGUGACUUGUGGUGCUUGAGUGCGGCAAA